RNAcentral lists this long non-coding RNA (1281 nucleotides) under Gadus morhua (Atlantic cod). RNAcentral's name for it is "lncRNA (ENSGMOG00000030968.1)". The record is from RNAcentral. Lineage: Eukaryota; Metazoa; Chordata; Actinopteri; Gadiformes; Gadidae.
AUGCAAAUGCAAGAAAUGGAAAAUAUACAAAGCCAACUUAAGAAUUUAGAAGUAAUAACGCGUUUAGGACAUGCGAAAGCUGCAUAUGGCACAAUAGAACAAUCCAUCAAUACUGCCUGGAACGAGUAUGAAAAGUUGAAGGAGCGAAACGAUGUAUCUGAAAUGAAGAAAUAUUUUGAUGAUUAUGAAUCCUCACACGCCAACCACAACCUGUUUCAGCUAUAUUCUUUAAUGCCAAAGAAAGUAUCUUUAUUUGGGAGUUUACCUAACACCUUCAUUGAGGAGUCUCGCUGUCAUAAUGCAGAGCUUGAUAAUUUCAAUCGCAAUUUCAAUGAUCUCAUGGUCAAAAGCCUUGUCCUGAAUGUACGCUUGUUUCGAUAUAAAGGUGAUGAAUUGAACAAAGGAAAGAUUGUUGAAGCCGUGCAUUACUACCACGACGGCAUGAGGAAACUCUACAAAGCCCAGUGGAUAUGCUUUGAUCAUGACACAACGUACAUCGAGCUAGAUUUACAAGAUGAGAUGAUCACUCAAAGCAACACUGAAGCAGAUAAUAUUGCUGCGGCCAUCACGAAGCAUUUGUCAGAAGCGUAUAGCAGCUAUGACUGGUAUGUGGUUGUGCACAAGACAACCUAUGACAUCUUGACAUAUUUGCAGAAACAUACCCUAUCCGAAGAGUUCAUUAUGAAAAUUGGACCAGCGCUGACUGUAGCUGCAGCUCAGCAGAUUAGAGGCUCUCACACGAAGGUAUCAGAAAUUGUACUGGACAUUAAAAAAUGUCUAAGCAGAGGCCAGGUAGUAUGCAGUAGUCUGAACAAGAAAUUCAAAAGCUGUGAAUUAUUGGAUAAGUUCACAGUGAUUCAUUACUAUAGAUAUUUGAGCAAUAGUGGUAAGGAGAAAAUUACUGAGGCUGAAAGUGAUCCAGUUGUAGAUUCCGUUGACAACACCGAGGGGCCUUACAUAUACAAGGGGACAUGUAGCAGUACUUCUCACUUUAUCGUGAUGAUAAAGAGUGACGAGGAGAUCCUGAACGCCAAUCGCUGUUCCCCGACACUGUGUCAGAAUGGGGGCCAGUGUAAGGCCCUGUUUGCUCGGACUGUAUGUGACUGCAAGUACCCAUACCAUGGAGACAAAUGUGAGUGGGAGAUUGUUUACCCAGAGAAGGACGUCGUCAUUGUUAAAAAAAAGGAUGUGGAUGAGGCUCCUCCAGUUCCCCUAAGACCCCUUAACAGACUGCUGGCUAAAGCAAGUACCUAUAUCAAGGAAACACAAGUGAGGAGGUGA